GUGCCAGCCGCCGCGGUAAUACGUAGGUGGCAAGCGUUAUCCGGAAUUAUUGGGCGUAAAGCGCGCGUAGGCAGUUUUUUAAGUCUGAUGUGAAAGCCCACGGCUCAACCGUGGAGGGUCAUUGGAAACUGGAAAACUUGAGUGCAGAAGAGGAAAGUGGAAUUCCAUGUGUAGCGGUGAAAUGCGCAGAGAUAUGGAGGAACACCAGUGGCGAAGGCGACUUUCUGGUCUGUAACUGACGCUGAUGUGCGAAAGCGUGGGGAUCAAACAGGAUUAGAU
Molecule: ribosomal RNA, 279 nt
Filed under: uncultured Staphylococcus sp.
Lineage: Bacteria; Bacillati; Bacillota; Bacilli; Caryophanales; Staphylococcaceae
Description: partial 16S ribosomal RNA
Rfam family: Bacterial small subunit ribosomal RNA
Source: RNAcentral